AAGAAAAAAAGUUUUCCCCAAAUUGAAAUCUAGGUUUUUCCGACUCUACUGUGAAGCUCGUCGCCGGCCUCCUUUCGCUUCAAUUUCGAUGUCAUAUCUUGGCGAAGAAGUGGAUAACAUGUAUCGGUUAAGUGUCUUUCUAACUCAAUUUUUAUUUGCUUCAUUCUCUAAUUAUCUCUCUACCCAGAUCCGAGUUUGCGAGAUCUCAAGCUACCCUAACAUUUUCCAGUUUUGCUCUUAAAUCUUUCAACUACUUAAGCUUUAGGUUCGUAUUUAUACAUUUUUUUUUUCUUCUUCUUCUCUGCGAUUUGUUCCUUUUUUGUUUAGAUGAACGAUUGAAUCUCGAGUCUGAUUGAGCCUCUCUGUGAUGGAUAUAGUUCGGAUUCGAUUUCAAAGUAGAAUUUUGAUUGCUUGUAAACCAGUAAGUUCAUGAUCAGGGCAUUAACUACUUGCUGAAACUUUUAAACUCACUCGAUUUUAUUUUGCAGCAGAUGAGUCAAGCUUUUGAUUGUUCAAUACUUAUGGUUAUUAUAUGCUUUUAUAGAAAGUGCACAGCGCUUGCAUGAUUUGGGCGAUGAAUCUAAGUCGAUUCCUCUGUGGAGAUAAGACAACUUCAGAGAAUAAGGGCUUGACUAUUCUGAUCUUCAAAGAGCUUUUUUUUAUUUCAAGAACAGUUGUUGACUAACCAACCUUGAAGAAUCACGCCUCAAGCCAUAAUAUUUACUUUGCAGGAACAGAGAGCAGAGUUGAAACCAAUGUUCCUUUACAUGGCCAUUGUUGCUCUCCUAAACCAUGGUUCCUUCGCUUGGAUGACAGUAACUGCAACAUCGAGAAGACCAAUUCAGAUACAACUUUGUAAUUAGGGUGAAAUGGGUAAAGACUUUCUUUCCGAAUGACACCAAAUUCUGGAAAUAAGUCCCAAUGACGAGUGAAGUCACCAGCAGAUGUGGAAAGCGGAGAAGGAUGAACUUGUUGUCUCAUCUUUCUUUCAUCUCUCUUUAUGUGUUAUAAGACUUGGCUUCUAAGUACUUAUAUAUAUUCUAUUUGUAAGUGGUUUUUAACUCUGUUUGAGAGUUUAAAACUCUUUCUUUUUUGAAUGUAUGA
Molecule: long non-coding RNA, 1104 nt
Organism: Camelina sativa (false flax)
Lineage: Eukaryota; Viridiplantae; Streptophyta; Magnoliopsida; Brassicales; Brassicaceae
Source: RefSeq, a predicted model, not a curated record